Molecule: ribosomal RNA, 443 nt
Filed under: uncultured bacterium
Lineage: Bacteria
Description: partial 16S ribosomal RNA
Rfam family: Bacterial small subunit ribosomal RNA
Source: RNAcentral
CCUACGGGAGACAGCAGUGGGGAAUAUUGGGCAAUGGGCGCAAGCCUGAACCAGCAACGCCGCGUGAAGGAAGAAGGCUUUCGGGUUGUAAACUUCUUUUCUGAGGGACGAAGAAAGUGACGGUACCUCAGGAAUAAGCCACGGCUAACUACGUGCCAGCAGCCGCGGUAAUACGUAGGUGGCAAGCGUUAUCCGGAUUUAUUGGGUGUAAAGGGCGUGUAGGCGGGAAAGCAAGUCAGAUGUGAAAACUCAGGGCUCAACCCUGAGCCUGCAUUUGAAACUGUUUUUCUUGAGUGCUGGGGAGGCAAUCGGAAUUCCGUGUGUAGCGGUGAAAUGCGUAGAUAUACGGAGGAACACCAGUGGCGAAGGCAGAUUGCUAGACAGUAACUGACGCUGAGGCGCGAAAGCGUGGGGAGCAAACAGGAUUAGAUACCCCUGUAGUC